UACGUAGGGCGCAAGCGUUGUCCGGAAUUAUUGGGCGUAAAGAGCUCGUAGGCGGUCUGUUACGUCCGCUGUGAAAACCCAGGGCUUAACCCUGGGCUUGCAGUGGAUACGGGCAGACUAGAGGUAGGUAGGGGAGAAUGGAAUUCCCGGUGUAGCGGUGAAAUGCGCAGAUAUCGGGAGGAACACCGGUGGCGAAGGCGGUUCUCUGGGCCUUACCUGACGCUGAGGAGCGAAAGCGUGGGGAGCGAACAGG
Molecule: ribosomal RNA, 253 nt
Filed under: uncultured bacterium
Lineage: Bacteria
Description: partial 16S ribosomal RNA
Rfam family: Bacterial small subunit ribosomal RNA
Source: RNAcentral